Molecule: ribosomal RNA, 693 nt
Filed under: uncultured Roseateles sp.
Lineage: Bacteria; Pseudomonadati; Pseudomonadota; Betaproteobacteria; Burkholderiales; Sphaerotilaceae
Description: bacterial SSU rRNA
Rfam family: Bacterial small subunit ribosomal RNA
Source: RNAcentral
GUCGAACGGUAACAGGUUAAGCUGACGAGUGGCGAACGGGUGAGUAAUGUAUCGGAACGUGCCCAGUCGUGGGGGAUAACUGCUCGAAAGAGCAGCUAAUACCGCAUACGACCUGAGGGUGAAAGCGGGGGAUCGCAAGACCUCGCGCGAUUGGAGCGGCCGAUAUCAGAUUAGGUAGUUGGUGAGGUAAAGGCUCACCAAGCCGACGAUCUGUAGCUGGUCUGAGAGGACGACCAGCCACACUGGGACUGAGACACGGCCCAGACUCCUACGGGAGGCAGCAGUGGGGAAUUUUGGACAAUGGGCGCAAGCCUGAUCCAGCCAUGCCGCGUGCGGGAAGAAGGCCUUCGGGUUGUAAACCGCUUUUGUCAGGGAAGAAAAGGUUCUGGCUAAUACCUGGGACUCAUGACGGUACCUGAAGAAUAAGCACCGGCUAACUACGUGCCAGCAGCCGCGGUAAUACGUAGGGUGCAAGCGUUAAUCGGAAUUACUGGGCGUAAAGCGUGCGCAGGCGGUUAUGCAAGACAGAGGUGAAAUCCCCGGGCUCAACCUGGGAACUGCCUUUGUGACUGCAUGGCUAGAGUACGGUAGAGGGGGAUGGAAUUCCGCGUGUAGCAGUGAAAUGCGUAGAUAUGCGGAGGAACACCGAUGGCGAAGGCAAUCCCCUGGACCUGUACUGACGCUCAUGCACGA